Vicia faba (fava bean) is the source of this 348-nucleotide non-coding RNA. Lineage: Eukaryota; Viridiplantae; Streptophyta; Magnoliopsida; Fabales; Fabaceae. The record is from the annotation of a GenBank genome assembly.
AUGACUAUCUAUGGAAAUGAGAGGAGAAAGGUGCUGAAAAAUCACCAAAAUGAUGAAAAACAUAUCGGAAUGUGGCAGAGGGAGCUCUAUGGUGAUCGGCGGUGGAUAUUUGUUGCUAGAGUGGUGUGUGAAGAGGAAUGCAAUUGCAGGAAAAUGACCAGCAUGCUCACCAGAAGAUUUCACGACAGUGGGUCGCAAUGGAUGAGGAGUCAUGUGGUGGAUGCACAGUUGAGAAGUGUCGCAAUGGAUGAGGAGCCAUCUGGUGGAUGCACAGUUGAGAAGUGUAUAAAACAGUGGCCGGAACAAGGAUACAUUCAAGAAGAAAACUGUAAAGUAGUCCUAAGAUGA